Erinaceus europaeus (western European hedgehog) is the source of this 570-nucleotide long non-coding RNA. RefSeq lists it as uncharacterized. The record is from RefSeq and is a predicted model, not a curated record. Lineage: Eukaryota; Metazoa; Chordata; Mammalia; Eulipotyphla; Erinaceidae. The transcript has 6 exons.
CCACAGGCCACUGAGCACAGCACCACAGGCCACUGAGCACAGCACCACAGGCCACAGAGUACAGCACCACAGGUCACUGAGCACAGCCCCACAGGUCACUGAGUACAGCACCACAGGUCACUGAGCACAGCACCACAGAUCACUGAGUACAGCACCACAGGCCACUGAGCGCAGCACCACAGAUCACUGAGUACAGCACCACAGGCCACAGAGUACAGCACCACAGGUCACUGAGUACAGCACCACAGGUCACUGAGUACAGCACCACAGGUCACUGAGUACAGCACCACAGGUCACUGAGCACAGCACCACAGGUCACUGAGCACAGCACCACAGGUCACAGAGUACAGCACCACAGGUCACUGAGUACAGCACCACAGGUCACUGAGUACAGCACCACAGGUCACUGAGCACAGCCCCACAGGUCACUGAGCACAACCCCACAGGUCACUGAGCACAGCACCACAGGCCACAGCGUGAGCCCCCGGGGGAAACCCACAAGCCCGUCCUCUCCCUUGGCCCUGGUGCUCCACACACCUGUUGGUGUGUUUCAUCUUGCUUUGCUCCCCU